RNAcentral lists this transfer RNA (73 nucleotides) under Nocardioides imazamoxiresistens. RNAcentral's name for it is "tRNA-Thr". It matches the Rfam family "tRNA". Rfam says of the family: Transfer RNA (tRNA) molecules are approximately 80 nucleotides in length. Lineage: Bacteria; Bacillati; Actinomycetota; Actinomycetes; Propionibacteriales; Nocardioidaceae. The record is from RNAcentral.
GCCGCGUUAGCUCAGUUGGUAGAGCACUCGCCUUGUAAGCGAGCGGUCGAGAGUUCGAGUCUCUCACGCGGCU